AAUCUGCAAGUGGAUAUUUGGAUAGCUCUGACGAUUUCCUUGGAAACGGGAAUAUCUUCAUAUAAAAUCUAGACAGAAGCACUCUCAGGAGGUACUUUGUGAUAUCUGCAUUCAAGUCACAGAGUUGAACAUUCCCUUUCUUAGAGCAGGUUUGAGACACUUUGUAGUAUCUGGAAGUGGACAUUUUUAGCGCUUUGACGCCUUUGGUGAAAAAGGAAAUGUUUUCCCAUAAAAACUAGACAGAAGCAUUCUAAGAAACUUCUUUGGGAUAUAUGUACUCAACUAACAGAGUUGAACCUUUCUAUUUAUAGGUCAGUUUUGAGAAGCUCUUGUUGUGGAAUCUGCAAGUGGAUAUUAGGAUAGCUCUGAGGAUUUCCUUGGAAACGGGAUUACAUAUAAAAAGUAGACAGCAGCAUUCUCAGAACCUUCUUUGUGAUGUUUGCUUUUAAGUCACAGAGUUGAAUAUUCCCUUACAUAGAGCAGGUUUGAAACACUAUUUCUGUAGUAUCUGGACAUGGACAUUUCGAGCGAUUUCAGGCCUAUGUUGAAAACGGAAAUAUCUUCCCAUAAAUACUAGACAGAAGCAUUCUCAGAAAUUUCUUUGUGAUGUGUGUCCUCAACUAACAGAGUUCAUCCUUUCUUAUGAUACAGCAGUUUUGAAACACUCUUUUUGUAGAAUAUGUAAGUGGAUAGUUGGAUAGCUCUCAUUAUUUCAUUGGAAACGGGAGUAUCAACAUAGAAAACCUAGACAGAAAAAUUCUCAGAAACUGCUUUAUGAUGUCUGCAUUCACGUCACAGAGUUGAUCAUUCCCUUUCAUAGAGCAGGUUUGAAACACUAUUUCUGUAGUAUGUGGACAUGGACAUUUCGAGCGAUUUCAGGCCUAUGUUGAAAACGGAAAUAUCUUCCCAUAAAAACUAGACAGAAGCAUUCUCAGAAAUUUCUUUGUGAUGUGUGUCCUCAACUAACAGAGUUCAUCCUUUCUUAUGAUACAGCAGUUUGGAAACACUCUUUUUGUAGAAUAUGUAAGUGGAUAGUUGGAUAGCUCUCACUAUUUCGUUGGAAACGGGAGUAUCAACAUAGAAAACCUAGACAGAAACAUUCUCAGAAACUGCUUUAUGAUGUCUGCAUUCACGUCACAGAGUUGAUCAUUCCCUUUCAUAGAGCAGGUUUGAAACCCUCUUUCCGUAGUAUCUGGAUGUGGACACUUGGAGCGCUUUGACGCUUACGGUGCAAAAGGAAAUAUCUUCCCAUAAAAACUAGACAGAAGCAUUCUCACAAACUGGAUUGUGAUGUUUGUCCUCAACUAACAGAGUUGAAACUUUCUAUUUACAGAGCACUUUUGAAAGACUCUUUUUGGAGAAUCUGCAAGUGGAUAUUUGGAGAGCUUUAAGGAUUUCAUUGGAAACGGGAAUAUCUUCAGAGCAGUUUUGAAACACUCUUUUUGUAGAAUCUGCAGGUGGAUAUUGGGAUAGCUUUAAGGAUUUCAUUGGAAACGGGAAUAUCCAAAUAUCAACUUGCAGAUUCUACAAAAAUAGUGUAUCAAAGCUGCUCUGUAAAAAGAAAGGUUCCACUCUGUUAGCUGAGUACACACAUCACAAACAUGUUUCUGAGAAUCCUUCUGUGUAGUUUUUAUAGGAAGAUAUUUCCUUUUUCAGCAUAGGCAUCAGAGCGCUCCAAAUGUCCACUUCCCGGUAGUACAAGAAGAGUGUUUCAAACCGGCUCUAUGAAAGGGAAUGUUCAACUCUACGAGUUGAAUGAAAAGAUCACAAAGAAGUUUCUGAGAAUGCUUCUGUCUAGAUUUUAUAUGUAUAUAUUCCCGUUUCCAACGAAAUCCUCUAAGCUAUCCAAAUAUCCACUUGCAGAUUCCGCAAAAAGAGUGUUUCAAAACUGCUCUGUCAAAAGAAAGGUUCAAUUCUGUUAGUUGAGUACAAACAUCACAAAGAAGUUUCUGAGAAUGCUUCUGUCUAGUUUUUAUGGGAAGAUAUUUCCUUUUUCACCAUGGGCCUCAAAGUGCUUCAAACGUCCACUUCCAGAUACUACAAAAAGAGUGUUUCAAACCUGCUCUAUGAAAGAGAAUGUUCAAUUCUGUGACUUGAAGGCAGACAUCACAAAGCAGUUUCUGAGAAUGCUUCUGUCGAGAUUAUAUACGAAGAUACUCCCGUUUCCAACGAAAUCCUAAAAUCUAUCCAAAUAUCCACUUGCAGAUUCUACAAAAAGAGUGUUUCAAAACUGCUCUGUGAAAAGAAAGCUUCAACUCUGUUAGCUGAGUACACACAUCACAGACAAGUUUCUGAGAAUGCUUCUGUCUAUUUUUUAUGGGAAGAUAUUUCCUUUUUCACCAUAGGCGUCAAAGCGCUCGAAAUGUCCACUUCCACAUACUACAAAAAGAGUGUUUCAAACCUUCUCUAUGAAAGGGAAUGUUCAACUCUAUGAGUUGAAUGCAAACAUCAGAACGAAAUUUCUGAGAAUGCUGCUGUCCACUUUUUAUAUGAAUGCGCGCUUUCAACGAAAUCCUCAAAGCAAUCCAAAUAUCCACUUGCAGAUUCCACAAAAAGAGUGUUUCAAAACUCCUCUAUCAAUAGAAAGUUUCAACUCUGUUAGUUGAGGACACACAUCACAAAUAAGUUUCUAAGAAUGCUUCUGUGUAGAUUUUACAUGAAGAUAUUCCCGUUUCCAAUGCCAUCCUUAAAGCCAUGCAAAUAUCCACUUGCAGAUUCUACAAAAAGAGUGUUUCAAAACUGCUCUGUAAAAAGAAAGGUUCAACUCUGUUAGUUGAGUACACACAUCACAAACAAGUUUCUGAGAAUGCUUCUGUCUCGUUUUUAUGGGAAGAUAUUUCCUUUUUCACCAAAGUCGUCAAAGCGCUCCAAAUGUCCACUUCCAGAUACUACAAAAAGAAUGUUUCAAACCUGCUCCAUGAAAGGGAAUGUUCAACUCUGUGACUUGAAUGCCGAUAUCACAAAGUAGUUUCUGAGAGUGCUUCUGUCUAGAUUUUAUAUGAAGAUAUUCUCAUUUCCAAUGAAAUCGUUAGAGCUAUCCAAAUAUCCACUUGCAGAUUCUACAAAAAGAGUGUUUCCAAACUGCUGUAUCAAAAGAAAGGUUGAACUUUGUUAGUUGAGGACACACAUUACAAAGAAGUUUCUGAGAAUGCUUCUGUCUAGAUUUUAUAUGAAGAUUUUCCCGUUUCCAAUGAAAUCCUUAAAGCUAUCCCAAUAUCCACCUGUAGAUUCUACAAAAAGAGUGUUUCAAAACUGCUCUGUAAAAAGAAUGGUUCAACUCUGUUAGUUGAGGACACACAUCACAAACAAGUUUCUGAGAAUGCUUCUGUCUAGUUUUUGUGGGAAGAUAUUUCCUUUUUCACUGUAGGCAUCAAAGCGCUCCAAAUGUCCACAUUCAGAUACUACAAAAAGAGUGUUUCAAACCUGCUCGAUGAAAGGGAAUGUUCAACUCUGUGACUUGAAUGCAGACAUCACAAAGCAGUUUCUGAGAAUGUUUCUGUCUAGAUUUUAUAUGAAGAUACUCCCGUUUCCAAUGAAAUCCACAAAGCUAUCCAAAUAUCCACUUGCAGAUUCUACAGAAAGCGUGUUUCCAAACUGCUCUGUCAAACGAAAUGUUCAACUCCGUUAGUUGAGGACACACAUCAGAAACAAGUUUCUGCGAAUGCUUCUGUGUAGUUUUUAUGGGAAGAUAUUUCCUUUUCCACCAUAGGCCUGAAAGCGCUCGAAAUGUCCACUUCCAGAUACUACAGAAAGAGUGUUUCAAACCUGCUCUAUGAAAGGGAAUGUUUUAUAUUUGUAUGUAUCAUAUGCCAAUUGUUACCUUUUUUGGCAGCACUGAAAAUUCAGGUGAUCUUAAACAUCAGACAGAUAACACAAAUAAGUGGUCCAGGUAAGGACUGUGUGAAAUAGAAAACAUAUCCUCUCUCAGAAAACAGUGAGAGGAUAUUGCUGAUGUGCAGGCCUCUGGCCCUUUGUUGAGAAACAGUUAUUGGAAAUCAGAUUUGUAUUUGAAGUAUUCCAGUUUUUAAAUUAGCAACUAUUUUCUUGCAACCCCAGCACUUUUGGAGGCCAAGAUGGGCAGAUUGCUUGAGCUCAGUAGUUCAAGACCAGCCUGGGCAACAUGGCAAGACCCCAUCUCUACCAAAAAUACAAAAAAUUAGCUGGGCAUGGUGGCAUGUGCUUGUGGUCCCAGCUACUAGGGAGACUGAGGUGGGAGGAUCACUUGAGCCCAGGAGGCAGAGCUUGCAAUGAACCGAGAUUGCACCACUGCACUCCAGCCUGGGCAAGAGAGUGAGACCCCAUCUGAUGUGAUUUGGCUGUGUCCCCACCCAAAUCUCGUAUUGAAUUCCCACAUGUGUGGGAGGGACCUGGUGGGAGGUAGUUGAAUCAUGGGGGCAGGUCUUUCCUGUGCUGUUCUCAUGGUGGUGAAUGACUCUCAUGGGAUCUGAUGAUUAUAGAAGGGGGAGUUUCCCUGCACAAGCUCUUUUAUCUUGUCUGCCACCAUGUGAGACAUGCCUUUCACCCUCCACCACGAUUGGGAAGCCUCCUCAGCCACGUGGAACUGUAAGUCCAUUAAAUGUCUUUCUUUUGUAAAUUGCCCAGUCUCAGGUAUGUCUUUAUCAGCAGUGUGAAAAUGGACUAAUACAGUAAAUUGGUACCAGAAGUGGGGUGUUGCUGAGAAGAUACCGGAAAAUGUGGAAGCAACUUUGGAACUGGGUAACAGGCAGAGGUUGAAACCGUUUGGAGGGCUCAGCAGAAGACAGGAAAAUGUGGGAAAGUUUGGAACUUCCUAGAGAUUUGUUGAAUGGCUUUGUCCAAAAUGCUGAUAGCGAUAUGGACAAUAAGGUCCAGGCUGAGGUGGACUCAGA
RNAcentral lists this long non-coding RNA (4868 nucleotides) under Homo sapiens (human). RNAcentral's name for it is "HSALNT0248555". The record is from RNAcentral. Lineage: Eukaryota; Metazoa; Chordata; Mammalia; Primates; Hominidae.